RNAcentral lists this ribosomal RNA (89 nucleotides) under uncultured bacterium. Its description in RNAcentral is "partial 16S ribosomal RNA". The record is from RNAcentral.
GUAACCGUCUUUAGUCGGGAAGAAAGGGUUCCUUGAAUACGGGAGAUUCUUGACGGUACCGGCGGAAUAAGCACCGGCUAACUACGUGC